RNAcentral lists this long non-coding RNA (972 nucleotides) under Mytilus galloprovincialis (Mediterranean mussel). Lineage: Eukaryota; Metazoa; Mollusca; Bivalvia; Mytilida; Mytilidae. The record is from RNAcentral.
AAUUUACAAUUUUUUGUCUUCUUGUAGAACAGAAAAGACAUGUCUAAAAUAAGAUCAGAGAGAUCAAAGAUCAGGGUUUGCUUUAUGAUUUAGAAAAUAUUUAAAAAUAUGAAAUAUAAAAAAUCUGUCGGGUACAGAUGAUAAGCAUAUAACUGAAAUUUUCAAAAAAGGAUCAUUGACCCAUUUUAUAGCUAUUGUCCUUUUACAUGUUUUAGAAAAGUAAUCAUAAAUUGAAUUUAAAAAAUCAGGGUAUUUUUACUUAUUUCAGCUGAGUAAAAUUUAUAGUUCUCAAACUUGGGUGUUAUUUUUUUUGUCAGGUCCUGGGUCUUUUGCAUUUUAGAUGUAAAACUGUUAUCAAGCUGUAAAUCUGCUGAAUAUUUCAUUAUGCAAUGUUUAGUGCUAUUUUUAUUCUUACUGUACAUGUUCAAAGGAAGUUCAGAGAUAUUUGUAAUCGGUCUGUCUGUCCCUCCAUGUGUUACAUUUGUAGAUUACCUUGUCUCCAUCACUCCUUGUUCAUUUUUUGUUUCAGCAAAUUUAUUUCUAUAAAGUAUUGUUCCUUAAUACUAUAUGUAGAUAAAAAUUGUCGAAUUACUCAUGUUACUAGUUUUUUUCUUCUUCUGAAAUCUCCAUUCAUUUUUUGUUUCAGUAAUUUUAUUUAUUUAUGGCAUUGUUCUUUACUUUGUGCAAAUGAUGUGUAGAUAUGCAGUAAGGCUUUGGAUUUCAGAUUUCUUUGAAGAGUUCCAACAUUUGGACCGUAAAAAAUGAAUUGAUAAGGGCUUUGUAGUGCUGGAUGGACAUUGUUUCUAAUGUCGCCAUCUACAGUUGUUUUUUACUGUUUGUGUUUUUAUACGCCAAAAACAUACAUUUUAUAUACAAAAUGUUUUUUUUAUUGUUACUUUACAAAUUUAUUUUUAAAAUGUACAAUGGUAUGUACCAAUUUACAAUUUUUGUUUAUGUUUCUGUUGAAAUAAA